Molecule: long non-coding RNA, 283 nt
Filed under: Haliotis rubra (blacklip abalone)
Lineage: Eukaryota; Metazoa; Mollusca; Gastropoda; Lepetellida; Haliotidae
Description: uncharacterized LOC124256466
Source: RNAcentral
UUUGGCUGUUCUUGCUGCGGUGCUGUGUGCCAGCACUGUCAACUGUGAGUGCCUGUGUCCCCGCAUCCUUGACCCCGUCUGUGACACCGCCGGCAACUACUACGACAAUUCGUGCAUGUUGAACUGUGUUGAGGGUGCCGUCCAGGCCGCAGAGGGCGCCUACACUGUCAAUGGAAACUCCUGUGUUGCUGCUAGCAAGUAGAUGACCUUAACCUUUGACGACAUGGAACGUCUACGACCACAGAAGCACAUAUUGCCUGUGCAAUAAAAUAUAGAAUCAAUC